GUGAACACUCCACUUUCUUUUCAAGUCCACUUCUGUGGCCACCAAUGACCACAUAAUGCCUACAGAAGGUUAACCCAUGUCACUGACUGAGAUUGGCACCGAGCCCAUUGUCUGCUCCACUUGCAAAUACCUUCUUAAACAACCUUAUAUGAGCAGUUCUCUUCUCAGGCUACUCUAGCACAGCUGUGGCCAGCUGCACUCAGCCUUCAGCCCAGCCAUGGAUUAUAUACCAGAUGAUUCCUGUUCAUUGAAAAUACUGGAAACAACAAGGAAUACAUCACACUGCCGAGAAAUUGGAUCCACCCAGAGAGACCAAAGGAAAGCUAUGACAUUUGAGGAACAGGCAAACAUUUCUCCUGCAAGCAUUUACUGAAGCAGACUAUAAAAACAAGUUUGGAUACUCCACCGGAAUGCUGUCACAGUUCUGAAUUUGGAAACUGAUAUUACCAUGUCCGUAAAGGACAAAGAAUGGAGGCUCCAAAUGUUGUAAUGAGUAACGCUUUUUAAAACUCAGAAAACUGACCAACAUCUGAGAACUAACUUGAUCCAGCCAAAUAUUUCUGGGUAUAAGAAGAGGCAAUGAUAAUUAGAAUUGCUGCUUGUAGAUAGGUAGUUUAAACUACACACAGUAGCUGGAUGUCUUCAAGGUAAAAGCAACUGAAGAGCAUUAGUGUUCAAGUAUCAUUAACCUCUCCAAAACGUUUCUUGGCAAACGGUUCUGAAGGCCUUCACUGAGUUUCUGUCAUUCUUCCCCUCCUUCUGUUCUAUGUCUUCCCACACUCAGUGAGUGGAACAUUUGGAUCAUUUUUAAAUUGUGUGAGGGAAGAGACCAAGAAAAAAAAUAAUUGAAGAACAGGGCAACUCUCUAGUAGUAAUAAAUAUUUAACUUGAAAAAUGCCUAAGAAUAAAUAUCAUCUAUAUAGGCACAUACAAGACUGUGGCACUCCUCUUUUGUUCACAUGUAGGAUCUUAGAAAAAAUAACCCCAAUAUUUUACUAUGAAAGAUUAUAGGUACCUAUGUUUUGAUUCACUUUUUUCCAACGUACCUGACUUUAAAGUUUUCCUUUUCAAAGAGCCAAGUGAACUCCUGCAUCUUGUCUCCCUUCUUGCUAAUUAUUUAAAGAGAUGACUCCAACGCCAUGUUUGAAAAUGUAUUUAAGUUUAAUAAUAUCUACAUUUUCACCCAGAUCUUUAUAGAUGCAAGAAUUAUAAUACCAAUGAAAGCUUUAAAUAUGAUACAAAUGACCUUGUAAAGACAUUUCAUAAACUCGUUCAUUUAAAAAAGUAACAAAAUGUUUCUAACACAAGG
RNAcentral lists this long non-coding RNA (1309 nucleotides) under Homo sapiens (human). RNAcentral's name for it is "HSALNT0321913". The record is from RNAcentral. Lineage: Eukaryota; Metazoa; Chordata; Mammalia; Primates; Hominidae.